Long non-coding RNA from Alosa sapidissima (American shad), 4403 nucleotides. RefSeq lists it as uncharacterized. The record is from RefSeq and is a predicted model, not a curated record. The transcript is spliced from 5 exons. Lineage: Eukaryota; Metazoa; Chordata; Actinopteri; Clupeiformes; Clupeidae.
CAGGUAAACAAGCUCAUGCUGCGCAACAGGACUGUCCAUCUGACAAACCGUUAACUAUAGCGACAUAACCAGGCUGAAUUCUUAUACACUGGAAUCGGAUCUGGUCUGGACUACUGCUAUUCCUACCAUUUUUGCGGUAAAAGAGCGAGAGUGAUCCUCCUUAGCCUGAGGGAGGUGGUUGGCAGAGCUGGGCGAGGACUGGGAGGUGCGGAGUUGAAAGGCCAGUCCGGAGCACGGCCGGGGCGAUGGGGAAUGAGGUGGUUCCUGUGAGAGGAAAAGUGGGGGUUUGAUAAGUGAGGCUGUUCCUGAGGAAAAGCGUCCUCUGUGGAGGAGGCCUCGUAAACAAACACCAUGGCUCUACAGGCAGAGACAAUUGUAACACUGUCCAGAAAUUCCAAGAGUUUGACAAACAAAUGGUUUUGCAGUGACCACUCGACAAGACGGUGCUGUUUGGCCUCAUGCAGUGACCACUCGACAAGACGGUGCUGUGUGGCCUCAUGCAGUGACCACUCGACAAAACGGUGCUGUGUGGCCCCUCAGAUGGACGGAAGCUUCUCUGACUCACUGCAGUGUGAGGGAUACCCAGGGAUGGGUGAUGAUGCAGAGGCCAUGAACAGACACAGCUCCUCCACGUCCGUCUCUGUUGGGGAUCCAGCUCUCUGGGGCGUCUGUCUUCACUCACGCGGCCCUCGGCCCACUCCCCUCUCCCCUCUCCCAGGCUGGGGGCUGACCAGUGCGCUCCACUCUGACCAGUGCGCUCCACUCUCCAGCCCCUGAUAGCGCUAGCAUGCGGAGGAAUGCGCUCUAAUGAAAACACUCGCCCGCUUCAUUAUUAGCGUGAAGACAGGAGGGCGCAGAAACAUUAGUCCUUUCUCUUCUCUUCCUCUUCUCUUCUCUUCUCUUCUCUUCUCUUCUCUUCUCUUCUCUCCUCUCCUCUCCUCUCCUCUCCUCUCCUCUUCUCUUCUCUUCUCUUUACUCACUCUCUUAUUCUCUCUCUCUCUCUCUGCUGUCCUCCCUGUUCAGGGAAGAUGUGGGCCUGAGUGUGAGAGAGGGUGGGGGGGGGGGGUUGGUUAUCAGCCUUUCUGCUGAGGCAGCACACAGAGUCUCUGUAGGGGGUUCUGGGAGGGAUGGAGCAGUGGGUCUGAAAGUCCCUCAGAGUCUCUCCCCCAGCAUGGACCCCCCCCCCCCCCCCCCCGCCCCCCCUCUUCCAGAGUCUCUGGUCUAUACAUCGGCCAGGCGCUGACUUUCCUUCGUACUCCAUAUCCACAUGCGCGGUCACCAGACCACCAGCUGCGGCUUUGCUGACGAGGGUUUCAUGAUAUCGCGGCUGAUAUUUCGGACUGUGAUGGACAGCGUGCACUCUGACGCAUGACUGCGAAGCACAGGAGCCCCUCUAUGUUAUCAGCCAGGGGGGUGUGUGUGUGUGGGGGGGGGUGUGUGUGAGUGUGUGUGUGUGUGGGGGGGGGGGGGGGGGGGGGGGGGGGGGGUGCAGGACGAGGGUGAUGGAAUGAAGCAGAAGGAGCAGGAUUCUGAAGAUGGAUACCCCCCCCCCCAGCCCGCAAGCGACGCGCUUCGUAAAUCUCCCACUCAUCUGGCCUCUGGAUGAGCUCAUCUGGGUCGGCCGUGAUACUGGCUGUCACACAUCAAAGCUCACCUCAAAAGCCUACUUUUAUGAAUGUGCCUGUGUCUGUGUCUGUGUAUGUGUCUGCGUGUGUGUGUGUGUUACAGAGGACAUUCCACGCGCCGUCCUGCUCGCCGCUAACAUCCUCUUGAGCCGUUUAUGACCUGAUGGAUCACAUCAGUCUCGUUAAAACAAUAACACGCACCUUGACGUCUUCUUCCCCCCCCCCCCCCCCCCCCCCCACGGGCCCCCUCGUCGUGGCUGACAGGCCACAGAGCCGGCCAGAGCAGGAAAUUACAGGUCAGGGCACAAGGGCUUUAAGUGUGUCCUCCUGACAUCAUCUUCUCACUUUAACACUUUGCUCAGCUGAAGACUUUUACGAAGCCUUUGUGUGCAGACAGGGUCGAUUAGUUUACAGCUCAAAGGUUAAAGAGGUCCCUUUGGGUCACCACAUAAAAGAUCUACAGCAAAUCCACACAAUGACUCCAGAGAUGAAAUGCUAAACAUCACAAUGGAGACCAUAUGCUAGGUCUAAUCUGUAUGUUUUUAGUGUACAUUAUGGUAGCACUUCGUUUCCCAUAAUCCCUCAGAUCUAAUCUGUAUGCUUUAGUGUACAUUAUGGUAGCAUUCCGUUUCCCAUCAUCCCUCAGGAUGUUAACUCAUCGCAGCACUGAGACUUGUAAUGUAAAAACCAGUAAUCCCACUUCAGAUACGUAGUCAAAAAGAGUGUCAUCAUGGAGGAGAGCUGGAGAGCUGGUAUUUUUUGUUAUUUGGACAUCUUGUCUUUUGAGUUAGGUUGGAGUGUGUGUGAAGUAAACAACAGCAUUAGUAAUCCUACUGGUCGUUUGGUUAAAGGCUGUAAGCGAUGACGCUGACGCUGCUACUGUGGCAGUUUUUAAUCAGAGUCCUUACUGCAGCCAGGCACACAGUGACGCCCCAGAGAGCCAGAACACUUUGCUCCCAACAAAAACAAUAACAAGAGGGGUGACCGAGUGAUGGCGCUGGGCCCGCAUGUGUGUCUUGGAGGAAUAGCCCAUUGGUUGCGCAACUCUCCAGAGGCCCUCUGGCUCGGGAAAAAAACGACGGAUUUGUGGACGUCAUCCUACUUGUCUAGUGCGAGUGCGCUGUACAGACGGUGACGGGAAAGAGCGCUCAAGUCCGGGCACAUACGCUGUGUCUGUGCGUGUGUGUGUGUAAUAGAGACGGGAACUGUUCAACAAAUUCCCAGGCCCUGCGCAAUGUCAAGGCAGACCCACGGCUGUGUGCACGUACAGUAUGCACUCUGUGUAAAUACUGUGCCACGCUCACAUGUAUUUAUGGAUCUAAUACUUUCACACUAAACUCAAGGAUCAGCAGCAUAAAUCUGCCAGUAGCAAUGCGGGAGAGGCCAGCCAAAUAACAUGGGUGAAUUGUUUUAUACUGCUCUGCCCCCGCACACAGACAUACACACACACACACACACACACACACACACACACAUACACAAACACACAUACACACACACAGACAGACAAACUCUGAAACAAAAUAAUUAUUGUCUAACCGAGUUUGUGAGAAGAAAAAAAAAGAUUUAACCUACUUUAAGUUAUAAUCAGUCAAGUAUAGGCACAGCAAAACAUAAAGUUGAUGUAGAGCUUGGAGUCAGAUGUGAUGGGAGUUUAUGUGCUUCUACCCCCCCCAGGCAGAAACUCUGAGCGAGAUCUGCUUUUUCUCCCCCGAGGUGUGGGUCUGUUCUGGUCUGGUCUGAUCUGGCCGAGCACACUGGGCAUGCUCACUGGCCUUUUCCCACAGUUCCCGAGACAAGCACAGAGAGCCCGGCGGUCUGGCGCAAGUGUGACCUCACUACGAGCUGCGUCAGAUGCGGACGCAAGUCACUUCAUGUCACGUCCACUGCACACACAGUCUAGUCCUGUUUCCGCUAGGCAGCUUGGCCCCAACAGCCCCUCCUCACGCUCACACACACACACACACACACACACACACACACACAACCCCCCCCCCCAGGGACUUCCCAAACGUGUAGAAUUCCGCGUUCGGGAUUGUGCAACACAUGCCUGGCCAAGGUGGGGACGCUUGGUCAGCUGAACCUGGACGUCCCGUCACCACCCACCACCCCCGCCACCCACCGCACCCGUCAGCCACCGCACCCGUCAGCCAUUGUUGUCCCCACCUAUACGCUUACUUCCACCCCCUGAGGCGCGCAUUAUCACGCCGGGGCGUAGACUUCCAGUGGAUGUGACGCUGCUUCUCUCCACCUCUCUGAUGCGGUAUCACUCACGCCAGCUUACCGUCUGACCUGAAUCUGAAGACAUACUCACACCUUCCCAAAAACAAGAGAUGAACCCAUGAAUUCUAGGAAGGAAGCCCCACUUACCUCAGGAGAUGACUGGGCCUGCCGAGACUAUGAAUACCCGAGUCAGGGCCAAACUCAGGGAGGGAGAGACAAUAUGAGUCAGAUUUUUGUGGGUCACAGUUCAAAAACGGCACUGCUAGCUCUCUGUGGUUGACUUAUUGUAGAGCGCUGCAGGGGAGAUGUAGGGAUGUGAGGCAGGCUAUGAAUUUUCUACGUGUCUUUCUUGUGUUGAUGAUAUUGUGGAGAGUACAGUGCUAGGAGUGGCCAGGAACAGUGAUGAGGCCUGUUUACACAACCGCUCUCCAUGUGAACUGCACUCCAUCAAAGGAUCAGUUACCAUGUAGCUCUGCGGGCAUAGAGAUCUAAUUACACGCUAAUAAGCUAAGAUGCCAUGACACUUGCCCCUAAUAAAAACAAGUUAUACUAGUA